RNAcentral lists this long non-coding RNA (462 nucleotides) under Sinocyclocheilus grahami. RNAcentral's name for it is "lncRNA (ENSSGRG00000037172.1)". The record is from RNAcentral. Lineage: Eukaryota; Metazoa; Chordata; Actinopteri; Cypriniformes; Cyprinidae.
AAGAGAUUAAAUAAAUGAUUUUUUUUUUCUUUAGGAUGGAACGUUUUUAACGUAUCCAUGGGCUGGGGAAAUCAGGCAUCAGCACCGGGACUGAGUAAGCUGGAGCAGAUCCUAUCACUGGGUUUCCAGAACAAGUUCUACAACGCCAGUGCUAUAGCUCCGGAUUCAGCAUCAGCAGGCGGGCAGAAUGAGUACAGGAUCAAUGUGUCCAGUGAUACGCCGCACUGGUAUGUCAUGGACUACAUGACCCGAGUCAGUCAGUACUACGGCAUCCGUUCAGCCUCUGUGGAUGACCUUGAUGAAUGUACAACAAAAGAGGCUCCGUGUUCAAAAUCAGCCCAGUGUGUCAACACCUACGGGGGCUACAGGUGUGUGUGCAAUGGCACUGAUCUAAAGGAGGAAUCACAGUCGUGCAUUUUUGGUAAGAGCAUCACCAGAAAACAGUGUUCAGGCUCUGUGUGA